This 2050-nucleotide ribosomal RNA is filed under the name mixed culture metagenome. Its description in RNAcentral is "bacterial LSU rRNA". It matches the Rfam family "Bacterial large subunit ribosomal RNA", at positions 14 to 2113 of the family's 2925-position model. The record is from RNAcentral.
AGAGCACGUGGUGGAUGCCUUGGCGAUGAUAGGCGACGAAGGACGUGAUAGCCUGCGAUAAGCUUCGGGGAGCUGGCAAAUAAGCUUUGAUCCGGAGAUUUCCGAAUGGGGAAACCCACCUAGCAGUAGGUAUCGCAUGAUGAAUACAUAGUCAUGCGAGGCGAACCGGGUGAACUGAAACAUCUCAGUAGCUCGAGGAAAAGACAUCAACCGAGAUUCCGAAAGUAGUGGCGAGCGAAAUCGGAAGAGCCUGUUAGUGAUAGCACAAGACUUAACGGAACGCCAUGGAAAGGGCGGCCAUAGCGGGUGAUAGCCCCGUACGUGAAAAGACCUGUGUGGUACUGAGCUAACGACAAGUAGGGCGGGACACGAGAAAUCCUGUCUGAAUAUGGGGGGACCAUCCUCCAAGGCUAAAUACUCGUAAUCGACCGAUAGUGAACAAGUACCGUGAGGGAAAGGCGAAAAGAACCCCGGGAGGGGAGUGAAAUAGAUCCUGAAACCGCAUGCUUACAAAAAGUAGGAGCCCGCAAGGGUGACUGCGUACCUUUUGUAUAAUGGGUCAGCGACUUACAUUCAGUGGCAAGGUUAACCGAAUAGGGAAGCCGUAGAGAAAUCGAGUCCGAAUAGGGCGAUUCAGUCGCUGGGUGUAGACCCGAAACCAAGUGAUCUAUCCAUGGCCAGGAUGAAGGUGCCGUAACAGGUACUGGAGGUCCGAACCGACUAGUGUUGCAAAACUAGCGGAUGAGCUGUGGAUAGGGGUGAAAGGCUAAACAAACUUGGAAAUAGCUGGUUCUCUCCGAAAACUAUUUAGGUAGUGCCUCAAGUAUUACCAUCGGGGGUAGAGCACUGUUUUGGCUAGGGGGUCAUGGCGACUUACCAAACCAAGGCAAACUCCGAAUACCGAUGAGUACAGCUUGGGAGACAGAGCACCGGGUGCUAACGUCCGGACUCAAGAGGGAAACAACCCAGACCGCCAGCUAAGGUCCCUAAAACGGGCUAAGUGGGAAACGAAGUGGGAAGGCUAAAACAGUCAGGAUGUUGGCUUAGAAGCAGCCAUCAUUUAAAGAAAGCGUAAUAGCUCACUGAUCGAGUCGUCCUGCGCGGAAGAUGUAACGGGGCUAAGCCAGUUACCGAAGCUGCGGAUUUGCAAUUUAUUGCACGUGGUAGGAGAGCGUUCUGUAGGCCUGUGAAGGUGUCUGGUAAAGGAUGCUGGAGGUAUCAGAAGUGCGAAUGCUGACAUGAGUAGCGUUAAAGGGGGUGAAAAGCCCCCUCGCCGUAAGCGCAAGGUUUCCUACGCAACGUUCAUCGGCGUAGGGUGAGUCGGCCCCUAAGGCGAGGCAGAGAUGCGUAGCUGAUGGGAAACAGGUCAAUAUUCCUGUACCGAUUACAAGUGCGAUGUGGGGACGGAUCUUAAUAGGUUAUCCGGCUGUUGGAUGUGCCGGUUUAGACAGAUGUAGGCGACACGUAGGCAAAUCCGCGUGUCAUAUACCGAGGCUGUUGAUCGAGCGAGCUUGCUCGCGAAGUAACUGAACGAGGUCCCAGGAAAAGCCACUAAGCUUCAGCUUGUAAUUGACCGUACCGCAAACCGACACUGGUGCGCGAGAUGAGUAUUCUAAGGCGCUUGAGAGAACUCAGGAGAAGGAACUCGGCAAAUUGAUACCGUAACUUCGGGAGAAGGUAUGCCCCAAGUAGGUGAACCUGUACAAGGCGAGCCCAACGGGGUUGCAAAAAAUCGGUGGCUGCGACUGUUUAAUAAAAACACAGCACUCUGCAAACACGAAAGUGGACGUAUAGGGUGUGACGCCUGCCCGGUGCUGGAAGAUUAAAUGAUGGGGUGCAAGCUCUUGAUCGAAGUCCCAGUAAACGGCGGCCGUAACUAUAACGGUCCUAAGGUAGCGAAAUUCCUUGUCGGGUAAGUUCCGACCCGCACGAAUGGCGUAACGAUGGCCACACUGUCUCCUCUCGGGACUCAGCGAAGUUGAAAUGUUUGUGAAGAUGCAAUCUACCCGCGGCUAGACGGAAAGACCCCAUGAACCUUUACUGUAGCUUU